Rhodamnia argentea is the source of this 182-nucleotide long non-coding RNA. RefSeq lists it as uncharacterized. The transcript has 2 exons. NCBI's taxonomy places the organism in Eukaryota, Viridiplantae, Streptophyta, Magnoliopsida, Myrtales, Myrtaceae. The record is from RefSeq and is a predicted model, not a curated record.
UGGCCACCGUUCCAAUCCACCAGCAUCAAAAACCCAGCUCCAGCAAAAUCCUAUACAUUUAGGUGACAGGAACCUAUCAAUAUAAGGUUGUCCCCCUGGAAGCACAUCACAAGCAGCUAACAAAAAACCUCAAUGAACCAAAACUAAUGCUUCAAAACACAAACAUAAAUGAUCAUUCUCAC